GGGAAGAUGGCUCAGUGGUAGAGUGCUUGCCUUGUGUGCAUGAGGCCCUAGGUUCAAUUCCUCAGUACCA
Molecule: transfer RNA, 70 nt
Filed under: Dipodomys ordii (Ord's kangaroo rat)
Lineage: Eukaryota; Metazoa; Chordata; Mammalia; Rodentia; Heteromyidae
Rfam family: tRNA
About the family: Transfer RNA (tRNA) molecules are approximately 80 nucleotides in length.
Source: Rfam by way of RNAcentral